RNAcentral lists this long non-coding RNA (586 nucleotides) under Mastacembelus armatus (zig-zag eel). Its description in RNAcentral is "lncRNA (ENSMAMG00000016552.2)". The record is from RNAcentral. Lineage: Eukaryota; Metazoa; Chordata; Actinopteri; Synbranchiformes; Mastacembelidae.
AAACCAAGAUGAUCUGUUUUCCAUCUUCAUAGGAUACGUCCCUGCUGCUGCACUUGUGUUUAACCACAGAAUAUUAUAAGCCUUUCUAAGAGGAGCCGAGAUGUCUGGGCCUUCGUCCUCCCAGACCACCCCGCAGUUCUACAGGGUCAGUGAGAGAGAUCUCACCGAGAUCGAGCUCCAUUCUGUGGACUCCAUCAACGAUCUCCACCGAACACACCCAGAACACAAAGGGGUGAGGCCUCCUCGUCCUGCUUACACACCCUCAUUGAAUGGGAACCUCUAUGCAUGUGACAUGACAGCUGUCAAUCAAAGAGGUCAGCCAGCCAACAGCAAAUGGCAGAGCCGUCUGCACCAAAUGCUGACACCCAGUUCGUCACGUGCAUACGCAAUGGGCUGUGCCAUUAUCACUCUGCUCCUGCUAACGGUGUUACUCAUCUUCUACUUUCUGGUCCAGCAGGGCGGCACAAUCCAGAGGCUGACUGAGGCAGUCAGGGAGAAAGAAGCUGCAGCAGCAGAGCUGUCGCUGCUGAUCCAAGAACUGCAGGCGCUGAGACACAACCUGACAGCCAUGAAAGGAAGGACAUGA